UUAUACUGGCAGCUGAGAUCGGGCAGGGAGCCGAAACGGUGCUGUCUCAGAUAUGUGCCGAAGCUCUGGGGAUUCCCCUUAAUAGAGUGCGCAUCAGAACAGAGGAUACCGAUAUAAGCCCCAUAGACUUGGGGGCGUAUUCUUCGCGGACCACUCUGAUGGGAGGGAACGCCGUGGCACGGGCAGCUAAAGAUGUUCUGAAAAAACUUUUUGAAACGGCUUCAGCUGUACUGGAAUGUGAACCCCACGAUCUGGAAGCGAAAAAAAGCCUUAUUUUCUGUAAAGAUAAUCCGUCAAGAGCGAUGGAUUGGUCAGAAGCCGCUCGAAAAUACUUUAAUGACAAAGGGCCGCUUUUGGGAACCGGCUGGUAUAAGCCCCCGGAAGGGCUGGGCGGAGAUUAUAAGGGUGCAGCCGUAGGGACCAGCCCGGCAUAUUCUUUUUCGAGUGCGGUCU
RNAcentral lists this ribosomal RNA (453 nucleotides) under uncultured eukaryote. RNAcentral describes it as "partial small subunit ribosomal RNA". The record is from RNAcentral.